This is an RNA transcript of Suricata suricatta (meerkat), 6198 nucleotides long. It is a transcript of the gene named RIC3 acetylcholine receptor chaperone, with no coding region annotated. The record is from RefSeq and is a predicted model, not a curated record. NCBI's taxonomy places the organism in Eukaryota, Metazoa, Chordata, Mammalia, Carnivora, Herpestidae. The transcript is spliced from 7 exons.
GGCUCGGUGCGAGUACGAAGUCUGCGACUGCGGCGCGGGCGCCCGGCGCGCUUGUCCCUCGCGCGUCGCCGUCUGCGCAGCCCGGGUUCGGUCGGAGGAGGCCGCCGGCGUCGUGGUUCCGGUUCCGGCUGGCGUCGGCACCUGUGGCGAGGGCGGCGGCCAUGGCGUACUCCACGGUGCAGAGGGUGGCCCUGGCCUCGGGGCUCGUCCUGGCUGUGUCGCUACUGCUGCCCAAGGCUUUCCUGUCCCGCGGAAAGCGGCAGGAGCCGCCGCCGGCGCCGGAAGGAAAGUUGGGUCGAUUUCCACCUAUGAUGCAUCAUCACCAGCCGCCCUCAGAUGGCCAGACCCCUGGAGCACGUUUCCAGAGGUCUCACCUCGCAGAGGCAUUUGCAAAGGCCAAAGGAUCAGGUGGAGGCACUGGAGGAGGUAGCGGAAGAGGCCUGAUGGGACAGAUUAUUCCAAUCUAUGGUUUUGGCAUUUUUCUAUAUAUACUGUAUAUUCUAUUUAAGCUUUCAAAGGGGAAAACUCCUGCAGAGGAUCGGAAAUGCUCUACAGCCGCAGCUGGAACUGCCCACAGGAAAAUUACCAACUUUGAACUUGUUCAACUGCAAGAAAAACUGAAGGAGACCGAGGAAGCCAUGGAAAAAUUAAUCAAUAGAGUGGGACCUAAUGGUGAGAGCAGAGCACAGACAGUGACUUCUGACCAAGAAAAACGUUUGCUGCAUCAGCUCCGAGAAAUCACCAGGGUCAUGAAAGAAGGAAGAUUCACUGACAGACUCACUCCAGAGAAAGAAGCUGAGGAGGCCCCUUACAUGGAAGACUGGGAAGGUUAUCCUGAAGAGACUUACCCGAUUUAUGACCUUUCAGACUGUAUCAAGCGGAGGCAAGAAACCAUCCUAGUGGAUUACCCUGACCCCAAGGAACCCUCUGCUGAAGAAAUAGCUGAAAGAAUGGAAUUGCUAGAAGGUGACGAAUCAGACCAUUUGGGCUGGGAAUUGCCCACUGACUCCAGAGUCCAGGAAGCUAAUUCUGUUACCUCAUGUGACCCAGAGCCAGAAACCUGUUCCUGCUGUUUUCAUGAAGAGGAGGAUCCCGCGGUCUUGGCAGAGAAUGCUGGGUUCAGUGCAGACAGUUACACUGAGCAAGAGGAAACCACCAAAGAAGUAUGGCCCCAAGACUCCAGGGAUCAAGGGUUGGGCAUCAGCACUGAUAAAGCGCAUACAGAUGGUACAUUGAGGAAGCGGAACCCCCAGGGUUUGGAGUUGAAAACAGCUGGUUUGGGGAAGUAUCCAUUACUCUAAUCCCAAGGUGACCUUUCUCUCCUUUCUCAGAUUUCAUCCUUGGCCCUGUGCCCUAUACUUCAUUCUGUGUUUAAAUAUCCUAGUUAAUCAGGCCACUACCAUGGAGAUCAUGUAUCCUUCUUGGUGCUCACACACCUGUCACCUUGUAAAACACGGUAGCAAUUAGUCUGAACAUAAUACAGCUUCACUCUUUCUCUUCAUGCCUGUCCUCCACCAGAGAGUUGAUCCGCUGAGUAAUUAUGUUUGAUCUAUUGUACACUCAGGGACAGAGGUCCGACUCUUCAUGCUAGGAGUAGCAGAUGGUUUACCUGUGAACGAACAUCAAUUUUAACAUGAGGAGGACUUGGGUUGCAAAAGUGAAGAUUUCAGAGUCCAAGGGGUCUUACUCUGUGGGUUGGAGCAGGUUAGUGGUCCCAUGGGUUCAAAAAGAGAACAUAUUUUGUGGGUAUGAUGGGGCCAGAGCAGGGUAAGACUCUGCUGGGUGAGCUAAAGCCUGCUGGUCACAGCGAGGGCCUUCAUAGGAGCACUGUCGCCGUCUGAUACCCACUUUUCUUCAGGGUAGAAGACCCCAGUGUUUUGUGAAUGAGUCCGGAGACCUCUUGGGGGACUGUUUUCCUUCAGUAUUGCCUGGAUCUCUAGCUUCCUUUAUCCCUGCUGUUUCCCAGAACUGCCAACCUGGAAGCAGCUUUAUACCUCUGGGCUCUCAGUGGCCAGAAGGCUUAGAGACUUUUUAGUCCUUGCCCUGCAGAGCCAAGGUUUGAGGCUAGUACGGCUGCAAGGACACCUGUGUAAGGGUGCUGGUCCUCCAUGAGAUGCUCAGGCCGCCAGCAAGGCAGGGACAGGGAAAGAAUCCAUGUACUUAACAGCAGCACUUGCCUAGAAGCGAUUUCUAAACAUUGUGCCCUCUGCAACACGAAUUGAGACAGAAGUGAGGAGGACUGAGCUUGUAGACAAAGUGCCAGCCUAAAAGGGAAGUUGCAGUGCGUGUCUUUUGCAGAGAAUUAAUAUAGCAGGAGAAUAUAGCCCCUCUAGCUGUGUCGCUCAGGGGAAGAGACUAUUUGUUCUAUAUUCAGAUAUCUGGGUCUUUUGAGAAGGGUGGGGAAAAUAGGAGGUAGGUUACGGCUGGAAGGAUUUUGACUAAACUGCAGGCCUAAUCUCUAAGGUGCCAUCUGCCAUGUGUCUUCUAGAGAUAAAAUGGCACCCAGCUAUCCUGGCUAGUAAAGAUGAGUGAAUUCAGUUUACAUGUAAGACUUGAGUUUAAAGAAGACACAUUCCUGAGAACAUUCCUAAUCAUAAAAUGUGGAAGAUGUGAAAGUUAAGAAAUCAUGUAAGGAUAGAUCGGGGUUUUGGAGUUCCAUUGUUCCUGUUGACCAAGAUGCCAAGAAAAUAGUUAAAAUCACACAUCUAAGCCUAUCCUACAGACUGUCAGAAGAUCUGGGAUUGCAUUAACAUGUGUCAGCUACCAGUAGGCAUUGCUUUUUGAUGAAAUUAACAUUUUUUUGUUACAAAGAGAAGUCAUUGAAGACUGAGUCUGUAGGAAGUAUAUUGCUUCUAUCUCUACGUAGAACAUCUGAUUCACUUUAAAGAAUGUAGUUUAAAAUCUACUGGAAAUGAUCUAGAUGUAAUGCUCAAGGUAAAAAAUAAUGUAGGUGCUCUUCACUGUUUUUGAUAAAUGGUUUUCCGUUAUUUCAUUCUUUUUUGCCUUAGUAUGUAUGGUUUCCUUACUAAGAUGUGUUUCUGGCUGCUUCAUUCCUGUGUUCAUUUAGGAGACACUGCCCAGCGGUAGGCAGUGGGAGCAGAGGCUCAGUUCCUAACUUUAAGAAAGUUUGGUGGGGAGCCUUGUCCAAUUUAUUAUUUUUUUAACAAACUAUUAACUAUAUAAAAGGGCUCAAGAUUAUGAAUUCUGCAGGCUAAGAAAUGUCGCUCAUGAUUCCAUCCCUGCCUAUUUCUAUCUGUAGAGUCUUGUUGGUUCUUUAACUGUACUGAGUCUUGGUUUUCUGCUAUGUGGUGCAGGGGAGUACAAGUCCAGGUCCCACAGGGCGGUUAGGAGGAUUAAACGUGAACUCAUCAGUGUAUAUAAAACAGCGUUGACCCUCCUAUCUCAUAUAUGAUAACCACUCAAGUAGUAAUUUACUUUUAUUGUACAAGGCUUUAUGCUGUAACUGAGAUGUGGAUCCAAAUCUAUAGAAACACAGAGAUCAUUUUUGCCAAAGUACUUCCAAGAAACCUAACAGGCAAAUUGGAUCUGGAGGCAUGCUAAGAACUUCAGGUGGCCAAGCAAGAGAACAUUCUUGGCAGAAAGCGCAGGGCUAGACAAAACUGGUGGGAAAGUGUAUGGGUGUUCACGUGUUUUUAUGAGGAUGGUAUUUAAGGUGUUGCGUAACCACUUUUUAAUUUUGAAUGUUAAUUUGGGGGGGGGUGGGGGGGAAUUGGCUCAGGAAAACAGUUCCACGAGCUCUUAGUACUUCUGACAGGUUCUUGCUGCCCUAGCUCUUGGCUGGCUUUAAACAGCAAUAAAUAUUAAUGUAUGUAUCUUUUAGAAAUUUUGAUUCCUCAUUUGGUCCUUUUUGGAUUUUCCAGAAUUAUCUUCUCCUUCAGGGAUGACAGUCAUGUGUAUAUACAGCCUGAGAUGACCAAAAUCCUACGGCUGAUUUUUGUUGUCAUGCCUGCUGUCGCUCUCAUCAUGGUCUUCAUUUUUCAGAACUGGUCUGGGCUGUGAACUUGGAUCCGCCCCAGGUACUAGGUCUUCGGUGACCUUUGAGCACUGGGGCAGAGCAUGGAGGACAGAUAGGUGGCUUAGCAAUCCACCACCUGGGGCCAUGCUUGGUUAAAUCAGGUGGGUGAUCCGGGCAGGAGAUCCUCUUUCCCGUCAUAACAGGAGCACAGAGAAAGCACCUUGGAGCUGUAGGACUGGCAGCGUACACGUUCCAGAAACUAGGACCAGGAAGGAAGGUAUGUUGAGGAACAGGCAUAUUUGACCUCUUGGCCUCACACACUCUCUGUACCUCAUGGUACAAACUAAGACACUUCAGGGAAAGGGAACUUUAAUUAUAAUUGUGUAAACCAUGACUAUCCUGAACCUAUUUAAAAGCUUUGUUUUUAAACAAAAACCUCUUUCGUUUUUAAUACAAACUGGUAUUGCUGCUUCCCGCAGAGGCAGGGCCUAGGAGCUAUAGGCCACGAUUGAGGCAGGAAAUUAUCUUAGCCACAUAAAAACUCCAAAUGUAGGGUUAAAAAGAAACCAACCCUAUUUUUUUCCUAAGGGCUGGGCCCCAAGGGAACAAACAGCCCAUUCUUGCAGAGGACUGUGCUAACCUAAGUAUCUUAACUAUUCUUCCAGCCCUUCCCAGCCUGGGUGUGUGUGGUUCUGACCAGCCGUAACUUGGAAGAGCCCAACCAGAGCCAGGCCAGCCUCAGCCCUUCUCACCCACCCCUGAGGCUCGUAGGACAGAAGCAAGGAAUGGGGUAGGAAAACACUUUUAGCUGAAGAGGCCGCCCAGCUUGGCAAAUGUGAUUGCAGCAGGAUACUAGCCCAAGAGUGGAGGGUGUGUGUGGACCCAGGGCCCAGGAAGAAUUCACUCUGGUCCCUUCACACACCCCUCCCCCAUCUAGUCCUCCAUCUCAGCAGUGGAGGCAGAGGGGCCAGGGAGCCACCGAGAGCAGAAGGUUCAUCUGGCAGGAGGCCUAUGUACAGACGGUAAGCAGGGCUGUCUCCGCAGGCAGCUCCACUCCAGGCCGGGCAACCCCAAAGGGUCCAAGGAGGCCUCUACUCGCAGGCCAGCUUGCUGUCAAAGCUGGACAGGGCGAUGGCGAAGGCCUGCAGCGCACACAGUGGGUAGUUGUAAUCCAUGGUGAACACGUCCUCUGCUACACGGCCAAACUGCAUCACAAUGUAGUCCGCUGGAGACAGGCCCAGAUGUGCCCAGAGAGACGCAGAGGACAGAGAUGAGGAAGGGUGGCCAUUCAAGCCACAGUGGGAAGAGCAGGUGAGAAGCAGAGAUGCCAAGGGAAAUCCCAAAGGAGGUAAAAUAGACCAGUUGGGAGAAGUGGGGGGAAAGGGAGAGGACAAAGGAGACAGACAUACAAAAACCAGGAGACAAGACGAGGAAGAAGUCACUCAGAGGGUGUCUCUGGUGUUUCCACACCUGAGACAGCUGACUAGGGUUAGGGCUCCAAAGAAGGUCCUUCUCAGGGCCUCCCAGUCAUUAUGGUUAGAGAGCUCCUGACCUCUAAGUCCUAUCUGUAACCCAUGUCCUUGAGCUCUUGUACAGGCCGGGUGGGGUGAGUGAGCCUUGAGCUAUGGGGCCGUGGCUAUCAUGUGGACAGUAAUGAGUAAGGGCAGCAAUACUCACGGUCAUUGCCAUGGAUGAUCUGGAAGUUCUUCACGGAGGCCUGUGUGACGCGCCCGUGGAAGUUGAGUACGUAGGACUGCGUGUCGUCAUUCCAGACAGGAGUCUUGUUCUGCAGCUCAAUGACACUCUCCGUGUUCUUAUUCUGCCAGCGCGCUAGCAGCGUCUCGUGCUCCUGGGAAGGCAGCCGCCCCUGAGCCAGGCCCACCCCUGCCAUGGCAUUGUAACCGCCCUGAGGAGAGAUCUGCCCUUGGGGUGGGGUCCUCAGGUUUCCCUAGGAAGCUCCAGGGCUUCUCACCCUCUGUCUCCUCCACCGAAACACUACAGUUCUGCCCACAGAAGUGCGUGCAGGGGAAGGGGGUGGGCGGAGACUCACGUUUCGGGGCCGGAUGGAGACUCUCUCGUGAACCAUGUUCAUGCCUGGGACGAUCACACUCAUCUUCCGUGGCCCCUUGAAACCUAAGACGUUUGUCUCCUGGAAAACAGUGAGAACUCAAUGGAGAGACAGCAGGGGGCUGGGGAAAGGGAAUAAAGAUGAUGAGGAGCUA